CUCGUAGGCGGUUUGUCGCGUCUGCCGUGAAAGUCCGGGGCUCAACUCCGGAUCUGCGGUGGGUACGGGCAGACUAGAGUGAUGUAGGGGAGACUGGAAUUCCUGGUGUAGCGGUGAAAUGCGCAGAUAUCAGGAGGAACACCGAUGGCGAAGGCAGGUCUCUGGGCAUUAACUGACGCUGAGGAGCGAAAGCAGUGGGGAGCGAACA
This 208-nucleotide ribosomal RNA is filed under the name uncultured bacterium. Its description in RNAcentral is "partial 16S ribosomal RNA". It matches the Rfam family "Bacterial small subunit ribosomal RNA", at positions 568 to 774 of the family's 1533-position model. The record is from RNAcentral.